This is a long non-coding RNA of Poecilia latipinna (sailfin molly), 1671 nucleotides long. RefSeq lists it as uncharacterized. The transcript has 4 exons. The record is from RefSeq and is a predicted model, not a curated record. Lineage: Eukaryota; Metazoa; Chordata; Actinopteri; Cyprinodontiformes; Poeciliidae.
GAAGACAAAAGCCACAGUUAUCUGGACAUGCAGCUUGCUGAUCUCUCUGAUUGUAGAGUCCUACCAUGCUCAGAAGCUCAGUAUUCACUGGGGUCCUCAGUCCAUGAUGUACUUGAAGGGCAAGUAUGGGAAAAGGUUUGCUUUGGAGGACGGAACCAGUGUGUUGAAGCAGAGUCUUCAGGGUUUCGGUGGACUGCUCCAAGGUAUCCAGAUGCUCCAGUCAUUGGAACUGAAAGAAAACCCAAAAAUUCUGAUUUUGGAGAAAAUUUUCAUCCAGAAUCUCCAAGAGAGAUGAGUCACUCUGCCUACUUCUCAGUGAAUAUCACCAACUUUACAUCCCAGCACUAAACCUUAUAAUACAGAGGUUCUUCAUCAGCCUUCUUAAAUGAAAGCUUUGGGUUUGUCAGUAACCGGUUGUGUGAUUCCUGUUGUUUUUCAUGUAUCAGAUUUAAUUUUAUCUUGUUGUAAAAUGAAAAACCCUGUUAAUAAAAAUUAGAGAAUGGUAUUGAUAUUUCUUUUUCCAUCUGCUUUAUUGUCUGCUGUGGUGAAACAAUCUUGAAACAAUCUAUUUGGUUUGGCUAUGAAUGAAUAAUUAUUAUAUAUAACAAUUAUUAACAAAAUUACUAUUGAAUUAUUAGUUGCAGAAUUAGUUUGCAAAUAUAUGAAAAACAUACAUUUUCCCAUUCUCACUUUUUUAUUUUUAUAUGUAAGAAGUAAGAAGGGCCAUGCCAUAGGUUUUUCAUCUUUAAUGCCUUUACUACACAGAGGGGUAUUUGGAUGCAAGUGAUGCAGCAUAAAAUAAUUUUUGAAAGAUGCAGACAUCUUCCUGUCUUCUAAAGUCCAGAAGGAGUUCAGUGGAUUAUAAAUCCAUCUUCAACCUUAAAAGGUCCAACCAGCUUAUCAUUUGUAACACCAGCCCUACUAGUACCCACCUCCACCUUGCUGGCAUCAGACUCAAGGUGGAGCUCUGUGCCUCUAACUGAUCCACCACAGGACCAUCCACCUGGUCCACCCAGAGUCACUCAGUUCAUCAGUCCAGAAAACCUCUGAAGGAUCUGUCAGCAGGUGUCUCUUGGCUCAGUCCAGUGGGUCUCUGGUCUCAUCCUUCCUAACCUCGGCCAUGCCUCUCAGCUCUAUACAUCAGGUACUUCUAGACAGUCCUGGUAGGUUGCAGUUAUGAACUAUAACAGAACUAGAAGAUAACGGGUUCCUGGUAGCUUCUUGGUUCUUACAUCCCAGAGGUUACUUUGCUUCUUUUUUUUUCUCAACGUUUCCUGCGACCCUGUUGACUGCAGCAAAACAGUAUCUCAAUAUCUCAGAAAGUUGGAGUGUUGCAUCCUUCUGAGAGACUUUUAUUUUUUUUUUUACUUUUUUCAGUCAGUUAAAUCUAAUUUUUAUCCCAUGUUGAAUAAAUGUAAUACAGGUAGCUGCCUAGUAAUUAUCCUCACUUGAAUAGCAGGAGCUGUCAUACCUAGAUCACUCUUUUUCAUUACACACAUCACCUGCUCUGCCUAAGUCCAUAAAGAUUCAAGUUUAUCCAGAUUGGAGUCAUAAAAUAUACCUAAAGGUUGGUGUGCAACAAUUGCAGUUUUCUGAUCACCCAUCUCUAAAAAUCCCAGUCUGCUAAUUUUGUGGCUCAUACUGUUGCCAAAAUCUAAGAAGAAGAAAAAA